CGUCUUGGGGCCGUUUCAGACAAAGCUCUGCCGUUAACAGCUUCUCUGGUUGCUCUGUCAUCUCCCAUUAGAGGCCUCGGUAACCAGCACUUCAUGAGGCUUUGCAGAAUAAUUUGUAUGUUUAAUACACCUCGAAAGCCCGUGUUGGGCUGCAAUUAAGGCGGGGGGAGGGAGCUGGGAAGAGAAGAGACGCCGACCUCCUGCUGGCUGCACAGAACCUGCUGCUUUCUGCCGAGGCUGCGCCGAUGGAGGAUGCCAGGGAAGCUGGAAUUAGAGGCAAAAGCAUAAUUUGUCAUUUGCAAGUGGGCUGCUUCAGAGGGUGCCAGCUCCUUCCUCAGCAUCCUCGUUUAACUGUGUGGGAAUUCGCCUCGGGCAGAGCUGACGCAGUUGUUUCAGGAGCACAUGGAGUCUUGCAGAGUCCAUCAGGAAACUCAGCAGCAGCUCAGAGAUGGCUCCAGAGCGGCAGAGACAUGAGACCCUUCAAAGCCAAGUGGCCAUUGAGCCUUGCAGAACCACCCCAGCUUUGCCCAGGGCUCCUGCCAGCCCUGGCUCUGGGCACAGGGGACGCUGCUGUCACCUCUGCCAUGGGCUCAUCUGCUCCUGUUAGACUGGCACUCCCAGGCUCAGCCAGCCCUGCCUCCUCCCCCUCAGCAGAUCUCCCCGAGCCCAGGGAGGCUUCGGCAAGGAGCUCCUGCCUUCCCAUCAGAGCCUCCUUCUCCAGCCCUGGAGUCCUCACCAGAUCUUGUCUAGAUGAUUUUUUCCCCUGUGCUCUACUUCUGUCUGUUCCUCACAGUUAAUCUCCCGGGGCUGCCCCUACAAAUCCCCCAAGCUGUGAUUUAUGCCUCCAUGGACAUGGAGAUGGUUAUCCCAUCCUGCCAUGGAUGUUGGCGAGCCCAGCCAGGCAGAUUUAGCUCUUUUAAUCUCUCUUCAUAAGUCAAUCCCUUCAGCCGCUUAAUCAUUUUGUUGUUCUCCUCCAAAUUCCCAACGAGGUGGUUUGUCUUGCAAGCGCCUGAUUCAUGGUCAUAUAUUUCCCAAAACUUCAGCAGCUUAACACAGGAAUAACACUGCAUGGAGCUGGUCACUCCCUGCAGCCCAAAGAGUCAUUAAACUCCUGAGGAA
This 1119-nucleotide long non-coding RNA is filed under the name Manacus vitellinus (golden-collared manakin). RNAcentral describes it as "lncRNA (ENSMVIG00005001459.1)". The record is from RNAcentral. Lineage: Eukaryota; Metazoa; Chordata; Aves; Passeriformes; Pipridae.